CCAAUAGCGUAUAUUAAAGUUGUUGCAGUUAAAAAGCUCGUAGUUGAACUUCGGGGUUUACCCAUUGGUCAGGCUUAAUUGUCUGUACUGGUGAGAUGAAUCUCUACCUUCUGAGGAACUUUCAUGCCAUUUAGUUGGUGUGAUAGGAAAUCAGGACUGUUACUUUGAAAAAAUUAGAGUGUCUAAAGCAGGCUAACGUCUGAAUACAUUAGCAUGGAAUAAUGAAAUAGGACGGAUUGGUUCUAUUUCGUUGGUUUCUAGGAUCACCGUAAUGAUUAAUAGGGAUAGUUGGGGGCAUUAGUAUUCAAUUGUCAGAGGUGAAAUUCUUGGAUUUAUUGAAGACUAACUAUUGCGAAAGCAUUUGCCAAGGAUGUUUUCAUUAAUCAAGAACGAAAGUUAGGGGAUCGAAGACGAUCAGAUACCGUCGUAGUCUUAACCAUAAACUAUGCCGACUAGGGAUCGGACGAAGUUAAUUUUAUAAUGACGCGUUCGGCACCUUACG
Molecule: ribosomal RNA, 502 nt
Filed under: uncultured Glomeromycotina
Lineage: Eukaryota; Fungi; Glomeromycota
Description: partial small subunit ribosomal RNA
Rfam family: Eukaryotic small subunit ribosomal RNA
Source: RNAcentral